This 492-nucleotide ribosomal RNA is filed under the name uncultured bacterium. RNAcentral's name for it is "partial 16S ribosomal RNA". It matches the Rfam family "Bacterial small subunit ribosomal RNA", at positions 29 to 507 of the family's 1533-position model. The record is from RNAcentral.
AGUGAACGCUGGCGGUAGGCCUAACACAUGCAAGUCGAACGGCAGCACAGUAAGAGCUUGCUCUUACGGGUGGCGAGUGGCGGACGGGUGAGGAAUACAUCGGAAUCUACUUUUUCGUGGGGGAUAACGUAGGGAAACUUACGCUAAUACCGCAUACGACCUACGGGUGAAAGCAGGGGAUCUUCGGACCUUGCGCGGUUGAAUGAGCCGAUGUCGGAUUAGCUAGUUGGCGGGGUAAAGGCCCACCAAGGCGACGAUCCGUAGCUGGUCUGAGAGGAUGAUCCGCCACACUGGAACUGAGACACGGUCCAGACUCCUACGGUGGGCAGCAGUGGGGAAUAUUGGACAAUGGGCGCAAGCCUGAUCCAGCCAUACCGCGUGGGUGAAGAAGGCCUUCGGGUUGUAAAGCCCUUUUGUUGGGAAAGAAAAGCAGCAGGUUAAUACCCCGCUGUUCUGACGGUACCCAAAGAAUAAGCACCGGCUAACUUCGUG